UCGGAGAUGUAGGCGUAGUCGGCGCAGAACUCGGCGAGGCUGGCCAGCUUCCUUCUUGGGCUCCAUGAAGCGGGAGAGGACGGAGACGCCCACGUCGAUGUGCUUCACCUUCACGGCGAGGCUCGCCAUCCUGUUUGCGCGGUACAUGUAGUCCAGCGCCUUGUCCACCUCCCCGCCGCUGGCUGCUUCACGGGGACGGGGCGUCCGGGUCGUCGUCGUCGGAGAGGUGUUGGUGUUAAACACGACAAAGCCUUCCAAUGCUGGUACGUGUCCAGGUGCCACUACAUGUAUGAUCCGAGUAGGACUUGAAUUAGCA
This 316-nucleotide long non-coding RNA is filed under the name Hordeum vulgare. Its description in RNAcentral is "long non-coding RNA (HVUL_LNC006130)". Lineage: Eukaryota; Viridiplantae; Streptophyta; Magnoliopsida; Poales; Poaceae. The record is from RNAcentral.